GUCCGUGCUGUAAACGAUGGAUGCUAGCCGUUGGGGGGUUACCUCUCAGUGGCGUAGCUAACGCGUUAAGCAUCCCGCCUGGGGAGUACGGUCGCAAGAUUAAAACUCAAAGAAAUUGACGGGGACCCGCACAAGCGGUGGAACAUGUGGUUUAAUUCGAGGCAACGCGAAGAACCUUACCAGGAUUCGACAUGUCCUCUAUGAACCCCCGAAAAGGGGUUCUUCACUUCGGGUGGGAGGAACACAGGUGCUGCAUGGCUGUCGU
RNAcentral lists this ribosomal RNA (265 nucleotides) under uncultured bacterium. RNAcentral's name for it is "partial 16S ribosomal RNA". It matches the Rfam family "Bacterial small subunit ribosomal RNA", at positions 793 to 1055 of the family's 1533-position model. The record is from RNAcentral.